This 460-nucleotide ribosomal RNA is filed under the name uncultured bacterium. RNAcentral describes it as "bacterial SSU rRNA". It matches the Rfam family "Bacterial small subunit ribosomal RNA", at positions 342 to 794 of the family's 1533-position model. The record is from RNAcentral.
UGGGAGGCAGCAGUAGGGAAUUUUGGACAAUGGGCGAAAGCCUGAUCCAGCCAUGCCGCGUGCAGGAUGAAGGCCUUCGGGUUGUAAACUGCUUUUGUACGGAACGAAAAGCCUCUUUCUAAUAAAGAGGGGUCAUGACGGUACCGUAAGAAUAAGCACCGGCUAACUACGUGCCAGCAGCCGCGGUAAUACGUAGGGUGCAAGCGUUAAUCGGAAUUACUGGGCGUAAAGCGUGCGCAGGCGGUUUUGUAAGACAGAGGUGAAAUCCCCGGGCUCAACCUGGGAACUGCCUUUGUGACUGCAAGGCUGGAGUGCGGCAGAGGGGGAUGGAAUUCCGCGUGUAGCAGUGAAAUGCGUAGAUAUGCGGAGGAACACCGAUGGCGAAGGCAAUCCCCUGGGCCUGCACUGACGCUCAUGCACGAAAGCGUGGGGAGCAAACAGGAUUAGAUACCCUGGUAGC